GAGCAGACUGCCGGUGAUAAGCCAGAUACCAUCGGCUUCAUCUAAACUUCAUAAAUUUCUAAAAAUUGGUGAGAGCCAAGGAUGAAACCAAGUUUAUAAUUUCUGCAUAAGCUGGCGGAUGGAAAAACAGCAUGGGCCAUGCUUGAAAUGAAGAAAAUUUUAUUGUUUGUGCCUGGGUUUUAAAUAAUGGUUGUUGCAUCCCAUGUGACCCAUGAUGCAACGAAAAAAUGGCUAUCCCAUGUAAAAUAUAUGGGAUUGAAUUUGGAUUCACAGAAUCACAGCUCUAUCAUCCACAUUGAUCCAAUACAUUGGUUACAUUUAUUUUGAUUUGAUAUGGAACUUGAUGGAAGUAUUUUUGGCUGCUAUGUUUAACUUUUGCACAGGAAGAGACAUGCACUGCUUUAAAACCCUAUUUUAAGUAGGAUGAAAUGGACAGUGGUGAGAAUGUAGUGGUGUUGGAUGAAUUACGUAAUGUUGAGAACAUACGAGUGUGGAUUAAGUGUAGAAGAUUAUUCCGAAUGGGCGCAUGAGAACAUUGCAGGACUUGGUAGUUAGUGUCAAGCAAAUGCAAUGAUUAUAAAAGUUGCAAUAAAGUUAGCAAAAGCAUUAUAUUCAUAGUGAGGUAGUAAUUCAAAGCAAAAAAACUAGAUGGAUCAACGGUGUUCAUGUACACAUAACCCAUUAAAAGAAACCGAACUAAUAUGAAUGUCCCAAAUUGGACCAUGCACAUCCGAAGGAUGGAUGAGUGAAUUCCGAAAAUUGGUGCUCGAGCAGGGCACCUCCUCCUCUGUGACUACCAAGUACUAACUCAUUGUAAAAUGGGGGAGAAAAGAAAAAAAAAUGAGAAAAAGAAAAGAGGGAAAAGGAGGGGGGAGAGAGAGACAGAGAUUAAUCCAGACAUUUUUCCUUGCCAUUUCUUGCAUUUGAUUAUUAUUAUUUUUUUUUUCUUCUCUCUUCCCUUUCUCCUUGACAGAAGUAUAAACUGUUACCUUUCUUGCCUUCUUGGGUUUUCAAUAUGUUGCUAUAUAAAUAGACCCUGACCUGGAGCUACAAUGCUAGGUUGUGCUUUGUGAUUGGCCUUUGUUUCCUUUGAAUCACCAACUAAUUUCCUUCUAUGCCGUUUACAGGUCUACAAUUAUACAUUCAAAC
RNAcentral lists this unclassified non-coding RNA (1149 nucleotides) under Hevea brasiliensis (rubber tree). The record is from RNAcentral. Lineage: Eukaryota; Viridiplantae; Streptophyta; Magnoliopsida; Malpighiales; Euphorbiaceae.